RNAcentral lists this ribosomal RNA (2892 nucleotides) under Pseudomonas hefeiensis. Its description in RNAcentral is "Pseudomonas sp. FP205 23S ribosomal RNA". It matches the Rfam family "Bacterial large subunit ribosomal RNA". The record is from RNAcentral. Lineage: Bacteria; Pseudomonadati; Pseudomonadota; Gammaproteobacteria; Pseudomonadales; Pseudomonadaceae.
GGUCAAGUGAAGAAGCGCAUACGGUGGAUGCCUUGGCAGUCAGAGGCGAUGAAAGACGUGGUAGCCUGCGAAAAGCUUCGGGGAGUCGGCAAACAGACUGUGAUCCGGAGAUGUCUGAAUGGGGGAACCCAGCCAUCAUAAGAUGGUUAUCUUGUACUGAAUACAUAGGUGCAAGAGGCGAACCAGGGGAACUGAAACAUCUAAGUACCCUGAGGAAAAGAAAUCAACCGAGAUUCCCUUAGUAGUGGCGAGCGAACGGGGACUAGCCCUUAAGUGGCUUUGAGAUUAGCGGAACGCUCUGGAAAGGGCGGCCAUAGUGGGUGAUAGCCCUGUACGCGAAAAUCUCUUAGUCAUGAAAUCGAGUAGGACGGAGCACGAGAAACUUUGUCUGAAUAUGGGGGGACCAUCCUCCAAGGCUAAAUACUACUGACUGACCGAUAGUGAACUAGUACCGUGAGGGAAAGGCGAAAAGAACCCCGGAGAGGGGAGUGAAAUAGAUCCUGAAACCGUAUGCGUACAAGCAGUGGGAGCCCACUUUGUUGGGUGACUGCGUACCUUUUGUAUAAUGGGUCAGCGACUUAUUUUCAGUGGCGAGCUUAACCGAAUAGGGGAGGCGUAGCGAAAGCGAGUCUUAAUAGGGCGUCUAGUCGCUGGGAAUAGACCCGAAACCGGGCGAUCUAUCCAUGGGCAGGUUGAAGGUUGGGUAACACUAACUGGAGGACCGAACCGACUACCGUUGAAAAGUUAGCGGAUGACCUGUGGAUCGGAGUGAAAGGCUAAUCAAGCUCGGAGAUAGCUGGUUCUCCUCGAAAGCUAUUUAGGUAGCGCCUCAUGUAUCACUGUAGGGGGUAGAGCACUGUUUCGGCUAGGGGGUCAUCCCGACUUACCAAACCGAUGCAAACUCCGAAUACCUACAAGUGCCGAGCAUGGGAGACACACGGCGGGUGCUAACGUCCGUCGUGAAAAGGGAAACAACCCAGACCGUCAGCUAAGGUCCCAAAGUUAUGGUUAAGUGGGAAACGAUGUGGGAAGGCUUAGACAGCUAGGAGGUUGGCUUAGAAGCAGCCACCCUUUAAAGAAAGCGUAAUAGCUCACUAGUCGAGUCGGCCUGCGCGGAAGAUGUAACGGGGCUCAAACCAUACACCGAAGCUACGGGUAUCACUUAGGUGAUGCGGUAGAGGAGCGUUCUGUAAGCCUGUGAAGGUGAGUUGAGAAGCUUGCUGGAGGUAUCAGAAGUGCGAAUGCUGACAUGAGUAACGACAAUGGGUGUGAAAAACACCCACGCCGAAAGACCAAGGUUUCCUGCGCAACGUUAAUCGACGCAGGGUUAGUCGGUCCCUAAGGCGAGGCUGAAAAGCGUAGUCGAUGGAAAACAGGUUAAUAUUCCUGUACUUCUGGUUAUUGCGAUGGAGGGACGGAGAAGGCUAGGCCAGCUUGGCGUUGGUUGUCCAAGUUUAAGGUGGUAGGCUGGAAUCUUAGGUAAAUCCGGGAUUCUAAGGCCGAGAGCUGAUGACGAGUUACCCUUUGGGUGACGAAGUGGUUGAUGCCAUGCUUCCAAGAAAAGCUUCUAAGCUUCAGGUAACCAGGAACCGUACCCCAAACCGACACAGGUGGUUGGGUAGAGAAUACCAAGGCGCUUGAGAGAACUCGGGUGAAGGAACUAGGCAAAAUGGCACCGUAACUUCGGGAGAAGGUGCGCCGGUGAGGGUGAAGCACUUGCUGCGUAAGCCCACGCCGGUCGAAGAUACCAGGCCGCUGCGACUGUUUAUUAAAAACACAGCACUCUGCAAACACGAAAGUGGACGUAUAGGGUGUGACGCCUGCCCGGUGCCGGAAGGUUAAUUGAUGGGGUUAGCUAACGCGAAGCUCUUGAUCGAAGCCCCGGUAAACGGCGGCCGUAACUAUAACGGUCCUAAGGUAGCGAAAUUCCUUGUCGGGUAAGUUCCGACCUGCACGAAUGGCGUAACGAUGGCGGCGCUGUCUCCACCCGAGACUCAGUGAAAUUGAAAUCGCUGUGAAGAUGCAGUGUAUCCGCGGCUAGACGGAAAGACCCCGUGAACCUUUACUAUAGCUUUGCACUGGACUUUGAAUUUGCUUGUGUAGGAUAGGUGGGAGGCUUUGAAGCGUGGACGCCAGUUCGCGUGGAGCCAACCUUGAAAUACCACCCUGGCAACUUUGAGGUUCUAACUCAGGUCCGUUAUCCGGAUCGAGGACAGUGUAUGGUGGGUAGUUUGACUGGGGCGGUCUCCUCCUAAAGAGUAACGGAGGAGUACGAAGGUGCGCUCAGACCGGUCGGAAAUCGGUCGUAGAGUAUAAAGGCAAAAGCGCGCUUGACUGCGAGACAGACACGUCGAGCAGGUACGAAAGUAGGUCUUAGUGAUCCGGUGGUUCUGUAUGGAAGGGCCAUCGCUCAACGGAUAAAAGGUACUCCGGGGAUAACAGGCUGAUACCGCCCAAGAGUUCAUAUCGACGGCGGUGUUUGGCACCUCGAUGUCGGCUCAUCACAUCCUGGGGCUGAAGCCGGUCCCAAGGGUAUGGCUGUUCGCCAUUUAAAGUGGUACGCGAGCUGGGUUUAGAACGUCGUGAGACAGUUCGGUCCCUAUCUGCCGUGGACGUUUGAGAUUUGAGAGGGGCUGCUCCUAGUACGAGAGGACCGGAGUGGACGAACCUCUGGUGUUCCGGUUGUCACGCCAGUGGCAUUGCCGGGUAGCUAUGUUCGGAAAAGAUAACCGCUGAAAGCAUCUAAGCGGGAAACUUGCCUCAAGAUGAGAUCUCACUGGGACCUUGAGUCCCCUGAAGGGCCGUCGAAGACUACGACGUUGAUAGGUGGGGUGUGUAAGCGCUGUGAGGCGUUGAGCUAACCCAUACUAAUUGCCCGUGAGGCUUGACCAU